GUUCCAUCAGAGUGGUUCGUGGACACUGACAGAAAAUUAUGCUGGUGGCCACCAGCCACAUUCCAAAAUGUGACCAAGGCCGUGAAAGAGGGCACACCACCAGCUCAAAACUGGAUUGUCUGUAAUGUGCGAGUGAUGGGAAAUGCAGCCACUUAUGCAGAGGCCAGGGUAAAGCUACAAUCAAGCUGAGGAUACAUACAUCAGACCUGACUGACACCGAAGAUGUUGUGAUAAAGAGAAAGUAGAUGUUGGUGGUGUAAUAGACAUUAAAAGGGUAAAACAGAGCAAGCAACGAGAAUCAAGUGAUUCAGAGGAGGAACUUCCACCCACUCCCCCAGAAAAACUCCUUGGGCUAGCAACAAAGAAAAUGACCAGAUGGAUCACCAGCCCCACUGCCCAGCGCGUUGCCAGCCCCAC
Molecule: non-coding RNA, 417 nt
Organism: Doryrhamphus excisus (bluestripe pipefish)
Lineage: Eukaryota; Metazoa; Chordata; Actinopteri; Syngnathiformes; Syngnathidae
Source: RefSeq, a predicted model, not a curated record